GAUGAACGCUGGCGGCGUGCUUAACACAUGCAAGUCGAACGAGCUUUAUUACUACGAUCCCUUCGGGGUGACGGUUUUAAAGCGAGUGGCGGACGGGUGAGUAACGCGUGGAUAACCUGCCCUUGUCCAUCGGAUAACCCGUCGAAAGGCGGACUAACACGAUAUGCAGUCCACAGCAGGCAUCUAACGUGGACGAAAUGUGAAGGAGAAGGAUGGGGAUGCGUCUGAUUAGCUUGUUGGCGGGGUAACGGCCCACCAAGGCGACGAUCAGUAGGGGUUCUGAGAGGAAGGUCCCCCCACAUUGGAACUGAGACACGGUCCAAACUCCUACGGGAGGCAGCAGUGAGGAAUAUUGGUCAAUGGGCGGAAGCCUGAACCAGCCAAGUAGCGUGAAGGACGACUGCCCUAUGGGUUGUAAACUUCUUUUAAUGCGGGGAUAAAGUGAGCCACGUGUGGCUUAUUGCAGGUACCGUAUGAAUAAGGACCGGCUAAUUCCGUG
This 499-nucleotide ribosomal RNA is filed under the name uncultured bacterium. Its description in RNAcentral is "bacterial SSU rRNA". It matches the Rfam family "Bacterial small subunit ribosomal RNA", at positions 28 to 507 of the family's 1533-position model. The record is from RNAcentral.